This 187-nucleotide unclassified non-coding RNA is filed under the name Pseudomonas cuatrocienegasensis. RNAcentral's name for it is "Pseudomonas sRNA P29". The record is from RNAcentral. Lineage: Bacteria; Pseudomonadati; Pseudomonadota; Gammaproteobacteria; Pseudomonadales; Pseudomonadaceae.
AAGCAGAAAGGGGAGCCUAAACUCCCCCAAUCGUAUCUGCAUCAUCGUUCUUGUUAGUGCUACCGGCCUGUUGUUCUUGUUUUAGCCGCGGCCUCCAACGGAGGCCAGGAGCGAACGGAUUUGUUUGGACGCUGAUGUUGCCUUGAUCCUGAGAUCCAACCCGACUGUCGUUGCGUUAAAACGCGAU